Molecule: ribosomal RNA, 253 nt
Filed under: uncultured bacterium
Lineage: Bacteria
Description: partial 16S ribosomal RNA
Rfam family: Bacterial small subunit ribosomal RNA
Source: RNAcentral
GACGUAGGGCGCGAGCGUUGUCCGGAUUUAUUGGGCGUAAAGAGCUCGUAGGCGGCUUGUCGCGUCGUUCGUGAAAACUCACAGCUCAACUGUGAGCUUGCGGUCGAUACGGGCAGGCUAGAGUUCGGUAGGGGAGACUGGAAUUCCUGGUGUAGCGGUGAAAUGCGCAGAUAUCAGGAGGAACACCGGUGGCGAAGGCGGAUCUCUGGGCCAUUACUGACGCUGAGGAGCGAAAGCGUGGGGAGCGAACAGG